GUGUUCACUGCAUUCAAACUGGUUGGAAGCACUGACUACUACAAGACAAGUUCCCAGGAAAACACAACAAACAUUGGAUGAAUUCUGAAUUAUUAACUGUGGUAAUUUUGCCUCCUGGUUGACAAGAGGGAGGGUUUCUGGCACGGGGCUGCUUGCUGAAAAUCAUCAUGACACUCCUGGGGUCUGAGCAUUCUUUGUUGAUUCGGAGCAAGUUCAGAUCAGACUAAUCCAAGACAGAAUCCAUAUAUUUACUGCAAAGCCUUGCAUUGCAAAACCAAACUAUAUUCCAAGAGCCAAGAAAAGGAUUUGAUAAGACUGAAGAUUAUUUAAAACACAAGGUCAGAAAUAGACCUGAAGGGACCAACUUGAUCAACAUGCAUAUUUUACAAGGAUCUUACAGGGUUUGGACAACAAUCUUCUUGGAUGUAGAUCAAGCAGUUGAGAAAAUGAAGCAUCUUCUCUCUUAUGUCUUCCUUGGACCCUAAUUCACCAUGUGUUCUCCAAUCAAAAACACUGACAUUUUACUAUGCCCCCUCAAUUUUACCCAGGCUUAUAACAUGAGUCUGUGGGUACAAUAAGUCAUAAAAAAAAUCUGUUAAGGUAGCCUUAAAUAGGAUGUCUAAUCCUUUAACAGUGAAAACUCUAAGGUUUUUUUAACUUGGGUUUUUUAAUCAACUACAGAUCCUUUGCAC
Molecule: long non-coding RNA, 692 nt
Filed under: Monodelphis domestica (gray short-tailed opossum)
Lineage: Eukaryota; Metazoa; Chordata; Mammalia; Didelphimorphia; Didelphidae
Description: lncRNA (ENSMODG00000046273.1)
Source: RNAcentral